GGGGAUUUAGCUCAGUGGUAGAGCGCUUGCCUAGCAAGCACAAGGCCCUGGGACUCCAAAAAAAAAGAAAAGAAAAAAAAUCACGGACUGGUCUUCCAAAGGUCCUGAGUUCAAUUCCCA
RNAcentral lists this transfer RNA (120 nucleotides) under Rattus norvegicus (Norway rat). The record is from Rfam by way of RNAcentral. Lineage: Eukaryota; Metazoa; Chordata; Mammalia; Rodentia; Muridae.